This 406-nucleotide ribosomal RNA is filed under the name uncultured bacterium. RNAcentral describes it as "partial 16S ribosomal RNA". It matches the Rfam family "Bacterial small subunit ribosomal RNA", at positions 30 to 526 of the family's 1533-position model. The record is from RNAcentral.
AUUGAACGCUGGCGGCAGGCCUAACACAUGCAAGUCAAGCGAGCGGCGGACGGGUGAGUAAUGUCUGGGAAACUGCCUGAUGGAGGGGGGUAACUACUGGAAACGGUAGCUACUACCGCAUACCAUCAGAUGUGCCCAGAUGGGAUUAGCUAGUAGGUGUGGUAACGGCUCACCUAGGCGACGAUCCCUAGCUGGUCUGAGAGGAGGAACAGCCACACUGUGACUGAGACACGGUCCAGACUCCUACGGGAGGCAGCAGUGGGGAAUAUGGCACAAUGGGCGCAAGCCUGAUGCAGCCAUGCCGCGUGUGUGAAGAAGGCCUUCGGGUUGUAAAGCACUUUCAGCGGGGAGGCGUUACCCGCAGAAGAAGCACCGGCUAACUCCGUGCCAGCAGCCGCGGUAAUAC